GAAGGUGGCCUGUGAGGGUUGCUGGAGGUAUCAGAAGUGCGAAUGCUGACAUAAGUAACGAUAAAGCGGGUGAAAAGCCCGCUCGCCGGAAGACCAAGGGUUCCUGUCCAACGUUAAUCGGGGCAGGGUGAGUCGACCCCUAAGGCGAGGCCGAAAGGCGUAGUCGAUGGGAAACGGGUUAAUAUUCCCGUACUUGGUGUUACUGCGAAGGGGGGACGGAGAAGGCUAUGUUGGCCGGGCGACGGUUGUCCCGGUUUAAGCGUGUAGGUGUGUGUUCCAGGUAAAUCCGGUUCACUUUAACACU
This 304-nucleotide ribosomal RNA is filed under the name Salmonella enterica subsp. enterica serovar Kentucky str. 22694. Its description in RNAcentral is "bacterial LSU rRNA". It matches the Rfam family "Bacterial large subunit ribosomal RNA", at positions 1252 to 1557 of the family's 2925-position model. Lineage: Bacteria; Pseudomonadati; Pseudomonadota; Gammaproteobacteria; Enterobacterales; Enterobacteriaceae. The record is from RNAcentral.